RNAcentral lists this ribosomal RNA (468 nucleotides) under uncultured bacterium. Its description in RNAcentral is "partial 16S ribosomal RNA". It matches the Rfam family "Bacterial small subunit ribosomal RNA", at positions 28 to 507 of the family's 1533-position model. The record is from RNAcentral.
GACGAACGCUGGCGGCGUGCUUAACACAUGCAAGUCGAACGGAAAGGCCCUGCUUUUGUGGGGUGCUCGAGUGGCGAACGGGUGAGUAACACGUGAGUAACCUGCCCUUGUCUUUGGGAUAAAUUCAGGAAACUGGGGCUAAUACAGGAUAGGAGCUCCUGCUGCAUGGUGGGGGUUGGAAAGUUUCGGCGGUGUGGGCUGGACUCGCGGGUUAUCAGCUUGUUGGUGGGGUAGUGGCUUACCAAGGCUUUGAAGGGUAGCCGGCCUGAGAGGGUGGCCGGCCACAUGGGGCCUGCGGUACGGCCCAGACUCCUACGGGAGGCAGCAGUGGGGAAUAUUGCACAAUGGGCGGAAGCCUGAUGCAGCGACGCCGCGUGCGGGAUGCCGUCCUUCUGGUUGUAAACCGCUUUCGCCUGUGACGAAGCGUGAGUGACGGUAAUGGGUAAAGAAGCACCGGCUAACUACGUG